GUUGUAUGGUUAAGUGACUAAGCGUGCACGGUGGAUGCCUUGGCAGUCAGAGGCGAUGAAGGACGUGCUAACCUGCGUUAAGCACGGGUGAGCUGGUAAGAAGCGCUUGAGCC
This 113-nucleotide ribosomal RNA is filed under the name Zobellella denitrificans. Its description in RNAcentral is "partial 23S ribosomal RNA". It matches the Rfam family "Bacterial large subunit ribosomal RNA", at positions 1 to 105 of the family's 2925-position model. The record is from RNAcentral. Lineage: Bacteria; Pseudomonadati; Pseudomonadota; Gammaproteobacteria; Aeromonadales; Aeromonadaceae.